ACAGGAUCAUCAUACAAUUAGGCAGUAGGAUGCCAGGUGCUAACCUUGGGGGGACUCUGAUUAAACAAACAGCAUUGAUUUUCAUGUAAUGUUACACUCCAUCACAAGGCCUUGGGAAAAGAGCAAUGGUGUCACCAGGAUCCUGAGUUCUUCCUAAAAUCUAAAUAUACAGAUGAACAAAUGACAUUAUGUUGCACCCCGAUCUAAGUCAUCCACUACUUCUAGGACAGCUGAAGAGAAGACAGAAGAAGGAAAGAACAAUGAUGACAAAAGCAUGGAAAGCUAACAAAAGAGGAUAAACAUACUGCAUACUGUUGAAGAUGCAACAAAAGCAUACAAAGAGUCAAGGAAGCCCAUUCUCUCAGAGAGAAUUCUAUUUGACUGAGGGUCCAAGGGGAAAGUCACACCUGCAAAGCCCAUCUAUCUCCAUCGGUAGAAUGAAGGGAGAAAUCUGGUGACCUUCUUAUGAUUUCUUUUCCUCAAGUCUAUAUGUAAGGACACACCGAUAUAGUUUAAAAAAAUAAAAAUAAAAAUAAAG
This is a non-coding RNA of Macaca mulatta (Rhesus monkey), 538 nucleotides long. NCBI's taxonomy places the organism in Eukaryota, Metazoa, Chordata, Mammalia, Primates, Cercopithecidae. The record is from RefSeq and is a predicted model, not a curated record.